This 386-nucleotide unclassified non-coding RNA is filed under the name Hevea brasiliensis (rubber tree). Lineage: Eukaryota; Viridiplantae; Streptophyta; Magnoliopsida; Malpighiales; Euphorbiaceae. The record is from RNAcentral.
GUCUGAUGCCAUCGCCGGAAUAUCACCGUUGGCUACUCCGAUCAUGAUUCCGAUACCGGUAUUUGCUAAAGCUUUGAUAAUUGCCGGGUCGGAUCCGUAUAACCGGACUUUUUGAAUUGAAGUUGAUUGUAGUAACUUGGCUGUUGCCUCCGGUGCCGGUAAAUUAUCCGCAACUUGGCCAUAAUUUAUACCAAUAAAUGACUGCGAUUUCGCGACGAGUACGAAAUGCAAGAGACAGAGAAGAAGGAAGAAGGAUGAAUUGUGAAGCAAAUUAGCCAUGGAUGUUAAUUUGAUGGUGAAAAAUAAUUGACGGAGAAGAAGUAUAAAUAGAGAUAGCUUUUUGAAGUACAAAGUACAAAAACAGAGCAUACAAAAGAAACUUCAAA